This 380-nucleotide ribosomal RNA is filed under the name uncultured eukaryote. RNAcentral's name for it is "partial 18S ribosomal RNA". It matches the Rfam family "Eukaryotic small subunit ribosomal RNA", at positions 592 to 976 of the family's 1831-position model. The record is from RNAcentral.
CAAUAGCGUAUAUUAAAGUUGUUGCAGUUAAAAAGCUCGUAGUUGGAUUUGUGGCGUACGGUGUGUUCCGGGCACUUGUUGUCUGAGUAACCUGCUGUUGCCAUCCUUGGGUGGAACCUGUGUGGCAUUAGGUUGUCGUGCAGGGGAUGCCCAUCAUUUACUGUGAAAAAAUUAGAGUGUUCAAAGCAGGCUUAUGCCGUUGAAUAUAUUAGCAUGGAAUAAUGAGAUAGGACUUUUUUGCUAUUUUGUUGGUUUGCGCAAAGAGGUAAUGAUUAAUAGGGACAGUUGGGGGUAUUCGUAUUCCAUUGUCAGAGGUGAAGUUCUUGGAUUUUUGGAAGACGAACUACUGCGAAAGCAUUUACCAAGGAUGUUUUCAUUAA